GACGAACGCUGGCGGCGUGCUUAACACAUGCAAGUCGAGCGGUAAGGCCCUUUCGGGGGUACGACGAGCGGCGAACGGGUGAGUAACACGUGGGUGACCUGCCUUUAGCUCUGGGAUAAGCCUGGGAAACUGGGUCUAAUACCGGAUAUGACUCCGCGGUGCAUGCUGUGGGGUGGAAAGCCUUGUGCGGCUGGAGAUGGGCCCGCGGCCUAUCAGCUUGUUGGUGGGGUGAUGGCCUACCAAGGCGACGACGGGUAGCCGCCUGAGAGGGCGACCGGCCACACUGGGACUGAGACACGGCCCAGACUCCUACGGGAGGCAGCAGUGGGGAAUCUUGCGCAAUGGGCGAAAGCCUGACGCAGCGACGCCGCGUGAGGGAUGACGGCCU
RNAcentral lists this ribosomal RNA (388 nucleotides) under uncultured bacterium. Its description in RNAcentral is "bacterial SSU rRNA". It matches the Rfam family "Bacterial small subunit ribosomal RNA", at positions 28 to 417 of the family's 1533-position model. The record is from RNAcentral.